AACGAACGCUGGCGGCGCGCCUAAUACAUGCAAGUCGAGCGAGAAGACGUAGCAAUACGUUUGUAAAGCGGCGAACGGGUGAGGAAUACAUGGGCAACCUACCCUCGAGUGGGGAAUAACUAGCCGAAAGGUUAGCUAAUACCGCGUACGCUCCUUGGACUUCGGUUCAGGGAGGAAAGCGAUACCGUGGGUAUCGCGCUCUUGGAUGGGCUCAUGUCCUAUCAGCUUGUUGGGAGGUAACGGCUCACCAAGGCUUCGACGGGUAGCUGGUCUGAGAGGACGAUCAGCCACACUGGCACUGCGACACGGGCCAGACUCCUACGGGAGGCAGCAGUAAGGAUAUUGCGCAAUGGGCGAAAGCCUGACGCAGCGACGCCGCGUGGGGGAUGAAGGUCUUCGGAUUGUAAACCCCUUUCGGGAGGGAAGAUGGAACGAGCAAUCGUUCGGACGGUACCUCCAG
This 460-nucleotide ribosomal RNA is filed under the name uncultured bacterium. Its description in RNAcentral is "bacterial SSU rRNA". It matches the Rfam family "Bacterial small subunit ribosomal RNA", at positions 29 to 484 of the family's 1533-position model. The record is from RNAcentral.